UGGGGAAUAUUGCACAAUGGGCGCAAGCCUGAUGCAGCAACGCCGCGUGAACGAUGAAGGUCUUCGGAUCGUAAAGUUCUGUUGCAGGGGAAGAUAAUGACGGUACCCUGUGAGGAAGCCCCGGCUAACUACGUGCCAGCAGCCGCGGUAAUACGUAGGGGGCUAGCGUUAUCCGGAUUUACUGGGCGUAAAGGGUGCGUAGGUGGUCUUUCAAGUCGGUGGUUAAAGGCUACGGCUCAACCGUAGUUAGCCUCCGAAACUGGAAGACUUGAGUGCAGGAGAGGAAAGUGGAAUUCCCAGUGUAGCGAUGAAAUGCGUAGAUAUUGGGAGGAACACCAGUAGCGAAGGCGGCUUUCUGGACUGCAACUGACACUGAGGCGCGAAAGCGUGGGGAGCAAACAGG
This 403-nucleotide ribosomal RNA is filed under the name Verrucomicrobiota bacterium. RNAcentral's name for it is "Verrucomicrobia bacterium partial 16S ribosomal RNA". It matches the Rfam family "Bacterial small subunit ribosomal RNA", at positions 355 to 776 of the family's 1533-position model. Lineage: Bacteria; Pseudomonadati; Verrucomicrobiota. The record is from RNAcentral.